UACGGGGGGGGCAAGCGUUGUUCGGAAUUACUGGGCGUAAAGGGUUCGUAGGCGGCCAACUAAGUCGGACGUGAAAUCCCCAGGCUCAACCUGGGAACUGCGUCCGAUACUGGAUGGCUUGAAUUCGGGAGAGGGAUGCAGAAUUCCAGGUGUAGCGGUGAAAUGCGUAGAUAUCUGGAGGAACACCGGUGGCGAAGGCGACAUCCUGGACCAACACUGACGCUGAGGAGCGAAAGCCAGGGGAGCAAACGGG
RNAcentral lists this ribosomal RNA (253 nucleotides) under uncultured bacterium. Its description in RNAcentral is "partial 16S ribosomal RNA". It matches the Rfam family "Bacterial small subunit ribosomal RNA", at positions 524 to 776 of the family's 1533-position model. The record is from RNAcentral.